This 83-nucleotide transfer RNA is filed under the name Trachymyrmex iheringi. RNAcentral describes it as "tRNA-Lys". Lineage: Eukaryota; Metazoa; Arthropoda; Insecta; Hymenoptera; Formicidae. The record is from RNAcentral.
CCCCCAAAUCAUUAAAUGACUGAAUUAAAGUAUUGAUUUUUUAAAUCAAAUUAUAAUAGUAAAUUAAAUAACUAUUUUUAAUG